RNAcentral lists this ribosomal RNA (515 nucleotides) under uncultured bacterium. RNAcentral's name for it is "bacterial SSU rRNA". It matches the Rfam family "Bacterial small subunit ribosomal RNA", at positions 777 to 1283 of the family's 1533-position model. The record is from RNAcentral.
AAUAGAUACCCUGGUAGUCUACGCCGUAAACGAUGCGCACUAGGUUCGAAGGUCUCUGACGAUCCUCGAGCCGAAACAAAAGCGAUAAGUGCGCCGCCUGGGGAGUACGGCCGCAAGGCUAAAACUCAAAGGAAUUGACGGGGGCUCACACAAGCGGUGGAGCAUGUGGAUCAAUUCGAAGCAACGCGAAGAACCUUACCUGGGUUUGACAUGCAUGGAUGCCGUCCAUGAAAGUGGAGCCGGCUGCCUUCGGGUGAAACAUGUACAGGUGCUGCAUGGCUGUCGUCAGCUCGUGCUGUGAGGUGUCGGGUUAAGUCCCUUAACGAGCGAAACCCUUAUCGCUAGUUGCCAGCGGGUCAUGCCGGGAACUCUACUGAGACUGCCGGCGUCAAGCCGGAGGAAGGCGGGGACGACGUCAAGUCAUCAUGGCCUUUAUGCCCAGGGUGUCACACGUGCUACAAUGGGGUGGUACAGAGCGACGCAAGACCGCAAGGUGGAGCAAAUCGCAGAAAACA